AUGCCAGAUCAGAUGAAGGGCAUGGUGACCACAAGGGGUUUGGCUGCAUCUCCCCGAGGAGGGCGCCGGGGAACUCUUUGCUCACCAGCCUCCCUCAAGUGCAAUGGUUUAGCACCAAGGCCCAUCGACGUCACCGAUGUCGCUGGUGCCGCUCUCCUAGUGGCUCGAUUCCUAGCAGCUGAGGAGAUUUCCGAUAUGGAUGCGGCAGUGGCAGAUGCUCCGGAGUUGGCGACGACGGCGAUCGUUACAGUGGCGGUGGCAGCGAUGGCUCCGGCCGCAGGGGAGGCGGUGGUGGUGGAGGCCAGGUCGUAG
This 312-nucleotide ribosomal RNA is filed under the name Triticum aestivum (bread wheat). RNAcentral's name for it is "partial small subunit ribosomal RNA". Lineage: Eukaryota; Viridiplantae; Streptophyta; Magnoliopsida; Poales; Poaceae. The record is from RNAcentral.